This 484-nucleotide ribosomal RNA is filed under the name uncultured bacterium. RNAcentral's name for it is "partial 16S ribosomal RNA". It matches the Rfam family "Bacterial small subunit ribosomal RNA", at positions 30 to 507 of the family's 1533-position model. The record is from RNAcentral.
AUUGAACGCUGGCGGCAGGCCUAACACAUGCAAGUCGAGCGGAUGAAGGGAGCUUGCUCCUGGAUUCAGCGGCGGACGGGUGAGUAAUGCCUAGGAAUCUGCCUGGUAGUGGGGGAUAACGUCCGGACACGGGCGCUAAUACCGCAUACGUCCUGAGGGAGAAAGUGGGGGAUCUUCGGACCUCACGCUAUCAGAUGAGCCUAGGUCGGAUUAGCUAGUUGGUGGGGUAAAGGCCUACCAAGGCGACGAUCCGUAACUGGUCUGAGAGGGUGAUCAGUCACACUGGAACUGAGACACGGUCCAGACUCCUACGGGAGGCAGCAGUAGGGAAUAUUGGACAAUGGGCGAAAGCCUGAUCCAGCCAUGCCGCGUGUGUGAAGAAGGUCUUCGGAUUGUAAAGCACUUUAAGUUGGGAGGAAGGGCAGUAAGUUAAUACCUUGCUGUUUUGACGUUACCAACAGAAUAAGCACCGGCUAACUUCGUG